Molecule: ribosomal RNA, 293 nt
Filed under: uncultured bacterium
Lineage: Bacteria
Description: partial 16S ribosomal RNA
Rfam family: Bacterial small subunit ribosomal RNA
Source: RNAcentral
GUGUCAGCAGCCGCGGUAAGACGAACUGUGCGAACGUUAUUCGGAAUCACUGGGCUUAAAGCGCGCGCAGGCGGGCCGGCACGUCCGAGGCUGAAAGCCCCCGGCUCAACCGGGGAACGGGCCCGGAUACGACCGGCCUGGAGGGGGGUAGGGGGAGCCGGAACUUCCGGUGGAGCGGUGAAAUGCGUUGAGAUCGGAAGGAACGCCCGUGGCGAAAGCGGGCUCCUGGGCCCCACCUGACGCUGAGGCGCGAAAGCCAGGGGAGCGAACGGGAUUAGAUACCCCUGUAGUCC